This 253-nucleotide ribosomal RNA is filed under the name uncultured bacterium. RNAcentral describes it as "partial 16S ribosomal RNA". It matches the Rfam family "Bacterial small subunit ribosomal RNA", at positions 524 to 776 of the family's 1533-position model. The record is from RNAcentral.
UACGUAGGUGGCAAGCGUUGUCCGGAUUUAUUGGGUUUAAAGGGUGCGUAGGCGGUUUUUUAAGUCAGUGGUGAAAUACUUCAGCUCAACUGGAGAGGUGCCAUUGAUACUGGGAAACUUGAGUACUGAUGAGGUAGGCGGAAUGGACGGUGUAGCGGUGAAAUGCUUAGAUAUCGUCCAGAACACCGAUAGCGAAGGCAGCUUACUAAGGAGUAACUGACGCUGAGGCACGAAAGUGUGGGGAUCAAACAGG